This 503-nucleotide ribosomal RNA is filed under the name Hansenula anomala. Its description in RNAcentral is "eukaryotic LSU rRNA". It matches the Rfam family "Eukaryotic large subunit ribosomal RNA", at positions 98 to 604 of the family's 3401-position model. Lineage: Eukaryota; Fungi; Ascomycota; Saccharomycetes; Phaffomycetales; Wickerhamomycetaceae. The record is from RNAcentral.
GCGGCAAAAGCUCAAAUUUGAAAUCUAGCACCUUCGGUGUUCGAGUUGUAAUUUGAAGAUGGUAACCUUGGGUUUGGCUCUUGUCUAUGUUCCUUGGAACAGGACGUCAUAGAGGGUGAGAAUCCCGUCUGAUGAGAUGCCCAUUCCUAUGUAAGGUGCUAUCGAAGAGUCGAGUUGUUUGGGAAUGCAGCUCUAAGUGGGUGGUAAAUUCCAUCUAAAGCUAAAUAUUGGCGAGAGACCGAUAGCGAACAAGUACAGUGAUGGAAAGAUGAAAAGAACUUUGAAAAGAGAGUGAAAAAGUACGUGAAAUUGUUGAAAGGGAAGGGCAUUAGAUCAGACUUGGUGUUUUACGAUUAUCUUCUCUUCUUGAGUUGUGCACUCGUAUUUCACUGGGCCAGCAUCGAUUCGGAUGGCAAGAUAAUGGCAGUUGAAUGUGGCUUCACUUCGGUGGAGUGUUAUAGCUUCUGCUGAUAUUGCCUGUCUGGAUCGAGGGCUGCGUCUUU